Molecule: ribosomal RNA, 253 nt
Filed under: uncultured bacterium
Lineage: Bacteria
Description: partial 16S ribosomal RNA
Rfam family: Bacterial small subunit ribosomal RNA
Source: RNAcentral
UACAGAGGUCCCAAGCGUUGUUCGGAAUUACUGGGCGUAAAGCGUGUGUAGGUGGUUGUCAUAGUCAGGCGUGAAAGCCUUGAGCUCAACUCAAGAAAUGCGCUUGAUACUGGGCAGCUAGAGGACCGGAGAGGAUAGUGGAAUUCCCAGUGUAGUGGUGAAAUACGUAGAGAUUGGGAAGAACACCAGUGGCGAAGGCGGCUAUCUGGACGGUUUCUGACACUAAGACACGAAAGCGUGGGGAGCAAACAGG